GAGACUAUAAGGUUCCACCAUUCUUGAUUGAAAAUAGGGAAUAGUUUCGUUCAGGAUUUGAAAUUUUCCUAAGUUCUCUGUUUGGUGACAUGUAUAAACAGAGGUAGACUAUAAGGUUCCACCAUUCUUGAUUGAAAAUAGAUAUUAUAUUUAUCGAAUUGAAUAUGUGAUUGGAUGUAAUCAUUGGAUAUUCUAAACCUUUCUAAUCAAUGGUAAUCACUCCUACUAUAAGAACUGAUUCCAAACCCCUGAUGAAGUCCUAACGGACGAAACGCGUUGGGUUUUGCAACGUCUGGUUAACAAAGUCCUUAUCAGAUGUUGGAGAUACAUCCAUUUCGAGUUCUGACUGUGAUCACCUGGCUGUAAAAUCCUCACAUCCAACUGUAAUUUAUGUAUAAGAUUGUAAUAUUGUUUUAUAUGAAUUUUUAGAAGGUUGUGUCAAUAACGAACGCUUAGGAUAAAUAUCGUUUGUUUCUGUACAAUAAAAACUUUUAAUUAUUGUCAUACAAAAGGCA
Pseudophryne corroboree (corroboree frog) is the source of this 515-nucleotide long non-coding RNA. RefSeq lists it as uncharacterized. The transcript has 4 exons. The record is from RefSeq and is a predicted model, not a curated record. Lineage: Eukaryota; Metazoa; Chordata; Amphibia; Anura; Myobatrachidae.